GUCAGCACCCCGCACUAAAGUGACGGGGCUUCGCGCCCCCAAGUUUUAGUUAGCUGACCCGCCUAAGUACCCGGAGUACUACGUUAUUAGUAAGUGUUAAAGUCCCACCUACGGAUGCAAUCAGGCCAGUCUGUAGCUCUGGAAUUAGAUGGUUAAACAGGUUUACGAGGGGUAAGCCAGUGCUGUCUAAAAAGUACCGACUAAUAACCUUGGCAAGGCUCACAUUAC
This is a non-coding RNA of Scytonema hofmannii PCC 7110, 228 nucleotides long. It matches the Rfam family "HNH endonuclease-associated RNA and ORF (HEARO) RNA". NCBI's taxonomy places the organism in Bacteria, Bacillati, Cyanobacteriota, Cyanophyceae, Nostocales, Scytonemataceae. The record is from Rfam.